Molecule: transfer RNA, 87 nt
Filed under: Ruminococcus sp.
Lineage: Bacteria; Bacillati; Bacillota; Clostridia; Eubacteriales; Oscillospiraceae
Description: tRNA-Leu
Rfam family: tRNA
About the family: Transfer RNA (tRNA) molecules are approximately 80 nucleotides in length. Their secondary structure includes four short double-helical elements and three loops (D, anti-codon, and T loops).
Source: RNAcentral
GCUACUAUGGCGAAAUUGGCAGACGCAACAGACUUAAAAUCUGUCGGCUUAAAUGCUGUGUGGGUUCAAGUCCCAUUAGUAGCACCA